AUAUACAUAUAAAGUAAGCCCUGCCCGGUGAUACUUUUAACGGCGGCCUUAGCGUGAGGGUCCNAAGGUAGCAUAGUAAUUUGGCCUUUAAUUGGGGUCUUGUAUGAAUGGGUUAACGUAAUAAUUACUGUGUCACACGGAUACAUAUAAAUUAAGUUUAAGGUGAAGAUGCCUUAAUUAUAAAGAAAGACGACAAGACCCUAUGAAGCUUUAUUUAUUUAAUAAUUUUAAAAUUGUUUGAUAAAUUUGUUGGGGCAACAAAGUGAUACUACAUUACUUUUUAAAAUUUUACUUUCAUGUCUUAUCUUAAUUUGUGAUGUUGAUUAGCUACUCUAGGGAUAACAGCGCAAUUUAUUUUUUAAGUUCUUAUUUUUAAAUAAGGUUGCGACCUCGAUGUUGGCCUUGGA
This 407-nucleotide ribosomal RNA is filed under the name Geukensia demissa (ribbed mussel). RNAcentral describes it as "partial 16S ribosomal RNA". It matches the Rfam family "Bacterial large subunit ribosomal RNA", at positions 1839 to 2542 of the family's 2925-position model. The record is from RNAcentral. Lineage: Eukaryota; Metazoa; Mollusca; Bivalvia; Mytilida; Mytilidae.